GAAACUACAACUGGCCCAGAACAGAGAGUAAGGCAGAUGUGCCUGAGAAGAUGGUGCUAACACAGGCUGCCAAGAUUCUGUGUUUCAAGUAGGGCAAAUAAUAAGUUCAAGAAAGUGACAAAUCUGGAUCUGAUCCUGUCCAGAGAGGAAAAUGCACAAGCACACAAAGCUCUGGGAGCUGGUGGGACGACCUGGGGUCCUCCUGGAGUACCAGAAAGUAUAGUUGUACUGCAAGGGAUGCUCUGCUGGUCCGGGGACAACAGCCUGGGAAGUAAAUAAGCUCCAGGCACUGGCUGGAAAGGACUCUGACGAACUGGAACACAUCCUUAAGGGUGCUGCAGAGAAGAAUGAACACUGCAAAUAGGUAAGCGCGAUUUGACCCCUCCAGAAGGUUACCGUUUGGAGAUGGGAAAUUUUCCGCAGUCAAAACAACUGGUGGAACAGGAUGUGGUAGAGCACCCCUGCAAUCCCAGCACUUGGGAGGCUGAGGCAGGAUAUCACUGCAAGUUCGAGGCCAGCCUGGACUACAUGUCCGAAGCUGGAACUGGGGAUCAGAGUGGCACUUAAGAGAGUGGAGGACUGGGCCACCGCGCGGUGUUGGAGAAAAGAACCAGAGGGGAGGAGAAAGGAAGCAGGAAGAGGACAAGAAUUCCGUAACGUAGCAGCCAAGGAGCCCAGCGCGUCGGCCACGUUACCUCAUCGCAGCUGCACAACUCUAGGACACCAGCCGUUACCGUGCCCCCUGCAGAGGACGCCCUGAAGGCAGAGCGACUUUCCCAAGCCAGAGCAAGAGCGAAGGGAGGCUGCUGAAUGCCACGCCGCGAAGUGCCCGCCCUCCACGCCACCGCCCCGCACCCUCCGGGGCGGGGCGUCCGAAAUCUCCUCCUUGCGGGUCCGUCGGCCAAGGGCUCGGACACUUCCGGUUGCGUGGGACGCAGCGGAACGUCGACACUCAGGCUCUGCGAGGUGCGGGAUGGUUUUCCAGGGACAACCGGCCGCAGCGCUUGCGCAAAAAACGCGGGACUGGCGACUGCGCGUGCUUUGCCCUCCCUGCUGGGUUGUGUGACUUCGCCUCCAGUGCGCACGCGCGUGCGUGUCCCGCCUCACUACGAACCUGGGAGGCGAGGCUGGCGCUGGCUCUGCUCUACCACUUCUCCCACCUUUCCAGGUCGGCGGCGGGUCCCACUAACCCUGUCAGGCCCAAGAAACAGUAACCCUCAACAAAUGGUAGCUGGUAUUCAUCUUUGAGUUCUUCCUGUGUGCCAGGAGCUGCAGCGCUAAUCCUUUGCCCUCUGAGGCUUUCCAAGAGGUUGAGGAAAUAGCGCCUAGGUAACAAAGCCAGUAAGGGGCCCAUUAGAACCGAAAAUGGCCCCGUUGCCAUCACAUUGCCGCCUGGAUAGAAUCUCGCCAUCCCCACCCUUCCAGGGCACUAUGGUCUCGACUGCUUCAGACAUACAAGCAGGAGAAAAAUGCAAUGCAUCUGCUGCCGAUUGAGCCCCAAAGCCAACAACCCUGUGUUUGGUCACGUCUCCCCUCUCUCCAGCACGUUCCGUUGUCACCGCUUUAGGUGCUUGCGCAGUUUUGAAUCGCAUUUACCUCCACUUUGGCCCCCGAGUGCUCUGUCUUGGACGACACACUCAUCCUGCCCGCAUCUCACACCCUGGUUCCCCCCACACCAUGACCCGCUUACACUGUCAAAGCGACUCUGCUGGAGCCGGGCUCGGGAAAUGAAGUUGCAGGCAUCGACACAGGCCUGGAUGGCCGGGGCAGCCUGCUUCAGACUGCCGCAGAACUCCUGGCUCUGCCCCAACUCCGGGCCUUUCUCUGAUGGAGACAGAAUGGGAGGUUUGGGAGUAAAACAGAGGAGAA
Molecule: long non-coding RNA, 1869 nt
Organism: Fukomys damarensis (Damara mole-rat)
Lineage: Eukaryota; Metazoa; Chordata; Mammalia; Rodentia; Bathyergidae
Exons: 8
Source: RefSeq, a predicted model, not a curated record